Molecule: ribosomal RNA, 676 nt
Filed under: uncultured bacterium
Lineage: Bacteria
Description: bacterial SSU rRNA
Rfam family: Bacterial small subunit ribosomal RNA
Source: RNAcentral
GCCUUACACAUGCAAGUCGAACGGUAACAGGUUAAGCUGACGAGUGGCGAACGGGUGAGUAAUAUAUCGGAACGUGCCCAGUCGUGGGGGAUAACUGCUCGAAAGAGCAGCUAAUACCGCAUACGACCUGAGGGUGAAAGCGGGGGAUCGCAAGACCUCGCGCGAUUGGAGCGGCCGAUAUCAGAUUAGCUAGUUGGCGGGGUAAAAGCCCACCAAGGCAACGAUCUGUAGCUGGUCUGAGAGGACGACCAGCCACACUGGGACUGAGACACGGCCCAGACUGGUACGGGAGGCAGCAGUGGGGAAUUUUGGACAAUGGACGCAAGUCUGAUCCAGCCAUGCCGCGUGCGGGAAGAAGGCCUUCGGGUUGUAAACCGCUUUUGUCAGGGAAGAAAAGGUUCUGGUUAAUACCUGGGACUCAUGACGGUACCUGAAGAAUAAGCACCGGCUAACUACGUGCCAGCAGCCGCGGUAAUACGUAGGGUGCAAGCGUUAAUCGGAAUUACUGGGCGUAAAGCGUGCGCAGGCGGUUAUGCAAGACAGAUGUGAAAUCCCCGGGCUCAACCUGGGAACUGCAUUUGUGACUGCAUAGCUAGAGUACGGUAGAGGGGGAUGGAAUUCCGCGUGUAGCAGUGAAAUGCGUAGAUAUGCGGAGGAACAGGGAUGGCGAAGGCAA